RNAcentral lists this ribosomal RNA (2900 nucleotides) under Klebsiella pneumoniae BIDMC 46b. RNAcentral's name for it is "bacterial LSU rRNA". It matches the Rfam family "Bacterial large subunit ribosomal RNA". Lineage: Bacteria; Pseudomonadati; Pseudomonadota; Gammaproteobacteria; Enterobacterales; Enterobacteriaceae. The record is from RNAcentral.
UUAAGCGACUAAGCGUACACGGUGGAUGCCCUGGCAGUCAGAGGCGAUGAAGGACGUGCUAAUCUGCGAAAAGCGUCGGUAAGGUGAUAUGAACCGUUAUAACCGGCGAUGUCCGAAUGGGGAAACCCAGUGCAAUUCGUUGCACUAUCGUUAACUGAAUACAUAGGUUAACGAGGCGAACCGGGGGAACUGAAACAUCUAAGUACCCCGAGGAAAAGAAAUCAACCGAGAUUCCCCCAGUAGCGGCGAGCGAACGGGGAGCAGCCCAGAGUCUGAAUCAGCUUGUGUGUUAGUGGAACGGUCUGGAAAGUCCGACGGUACAGGGUGAUAGUCCCGUACACCAAAAUGCACAGGUUGUGAACUCGAAGAGUAGGGCGGGACACGUGGUAUCCUGUCUGAAUAUGGGGGGGCCAUCCUCCAAGGCUAAAUACUCCUGACUGACCGAUAGUGAACCAGUACCGUGAGGGAAAGGCGAAAAGAACCCCGGCGAGGGGAGUGAAAAAGAACCUGAAACCGUGUACGUACAAGCAGUGGGAGCACCUUCGGGUGUGACUGCGUACCUUUUGUAUAAUGGGUCAGCGACUUAUAUUCUGUAGCAAGGUUAACCGUAUAGGGGAGCCGCAGGGAAACCGAGUCUUAACUGGGCGUUAAGUUGCAGGGUAUAGACCCGAAACCCGGUGAUCUAGCCAUGGGCAGGUUGAAGGUUGGGUAACACUAACUGGAGGACCGAACCGACUAAUGUUGAAAAAUUAGCGGAUGACUUGUGGCUGGGGGUGAAAGGCCAAUCAAACCGGGAGAUAGCUGGUUCUCCCCGAAAGCUAUUUAGGUAGCGCCUCGUGAAUUCAUCUUCGGGGGUAGAGCACUGUUUCGGCUAGGGGGUCAUCCCGACUUACCAACCCGAUGCAAACUACGAAUACCGAAGAAUGUUAUCACGGGAGACACACGGCGGGUGCUAACGUCCGUCGUGAAGAGGGAAACAACCCAGACCGCCAGCUAAGGUCCCAAAGUCAUGGUUAAGUGGGAAACGAUGUGGGAAGGCACAGACAGCCAGGAUGUUGGCUUAGAAGCAGCCAUCAUUUAAAGAAAGCGUAAUAGCUCACUGGUCGAGUCGGCCUGCGCGGAAGAUGUAACGGGGCUAAACCAUGCACCGAAGCUGCGGCAGCGACACUAUGUGUUGUUGGGUAGGGGAGCGUUCUGUAAGCCUGCGAAGGUGACCUGUGAGGGUUGCUGGAGGUAUCAGAAGUGCGAAUGCUGACAUAAGUAACGAUAAAGCGGGUGAAAAGCCCGCUCGCCGGAAGACCAAGGGUUCCUGUCCAACGUUAAUCGGGGCAGGGUGAGUCGACCCCUAAGGCGAGGCCGAAAGGCGUAGUCGAUGGGAAACAGGUUAAUAUUCCUGUACUUGGUGUUACUGCGAAGGGGGGACGGAGAAGGCUAUGUUAGCCGGGCGACGGUUGUCCCGGUUUAAGCAUGUAGGCUGAUUGUCCAGGCAAAUCCGGAUAAUCAAGGCUGAGGUGUGAUGACGAGGCACUACGGUGCUGAAGUAACAAAUGCCCUGCUUCCAGGAAAAGCCUCUAAGCAUCAGGUAACAUUAAAUCGUACCCCAAACCGACACAGGUGGUCAGGUAGAGAAUACCAAGGCGCUUGAGAGAACUCGGGUGAAGGAACUAGGCAAAAUGGUGCCGUAACUUCGGGAGAAGGCACGCUGGUGUGUAGGUGAAGCCCCUGCGGGUGGAGCUGAGACCAGUCGAAGAUACCAGCUGGCUGCAACUGUUUAUUAAAAACACAGCACUGUGCAAACACGAAAGUGGACGUAUACGGUGUGACGCCUGCCCGGUGCCGGAAGGUUAAUUGAUGGGGUUAUCCGUAAGGAGAAGCUCUUGAUCGAAGCCCCGGUAAACGGCGGCCGUAACUAUAACGGUCCUAAGGUAGCGAAAUUCCUUGUCGGGUAAGUUCCGACCUGCACGAAUGGCGUAAUGAUGGCCAGGCUGUCUCCACCCGAGACUCAGUGAAAUUGAACUCGCUGUGAAGAUGCAGUGUACCCGCGGCAAGACGGAAAGACCCCGUGAACCUUUACUAUAGCUUGACACUGAACAUUGAGCCUUGAUGUGUAGGAUAGGUGGGAGGCUUUGAAGCGUGGACGCCAGUCUGCGUGGAGCCAACCUUGAAAUACCACCCUUUAAUGUUUGAUGUUCUAACGUUGGCCCCUUAUCGGGGUUGCGGACAGUGUCUGGUGGGUAGUUUGACUGGGGCGGUCUCCUCCCAAAGCGUAACGGAGGAGCACGAAGGUUAGCUAAUCCUGGUCGGACAUCAGGAGGUUAGUGCAAUGGCAUAAGCUAGCUUGACUGCGAGCGUGACGGCGCGAGCAGGUGCGAAAGCAGGUCAUAGUGAUCCGGUGGUUCUGAAUGGAAGGGCCAUCGCUCAACGGAUAAAAGGUACUCCGGGGAUAACAGGCUGAUACCGCCCAAGAGUUCAUAUCGACGGCGGUGUUUGGCACCUCGAUGUCGGCUCAUCACAUCCUGGGGCUGAAGUAGGUCCCAAGGGUAUGGCUGUUCGCCAUUUAAAGUGGUACGCGAGCUGGGUUUAGAACGUCGUGAGACAGUUCGGUCCCUAUCUGCCGUGGGCGCUGGAGAAUUGAGGGGGGCUGCUCCUAGUACGAGAGGACCGGAGUGGACGCAUCACUGGUGUUCGGGUUGUCAUGCCAAUGGCACUGCCCGGUAGCUAAAUGCGGAAGAGAUAAGUGCUGAAAGCAUCUAAGCACGAAACUUGCCCCGAGAUGAGUUCUCCCUGAGACUUUAAGUCUCCUGAAGGAACGUUAAAGACGAUGACGUUGAUAGGCCGGGUGUGUAAGCGCAGCGAUGCGUUGAGCUAACCGGUACUAAUGAACCGUGAGGCUUAACCUU